This 343-nucleotide ribosomal RNA is filed under the name uncultured Bacillota bacterium. Its description in RNAcentral is "uncultured Firmicutes bacterium partial 16S ribosomal RNA". The record is from RNAcentral. Lineage: Bacteria; Bacillati; Bacillota.
CCUCUGAGAGAGGGAUAGCUUYURGAAACGGAUGGRAAUWCCUCAUAACAUAACGAAKCCGCAUGACUUWGUUAUCAAAGAUUUAUCAMUCAGAGAUGGGCUCGCGUCUGAUUAGAUAGUUGGUGAGGUAACGGCCCACCAAGUCGACGAUCAGUAGCCGGACUGAGAGGUUGAACGGCCACAUUGGGACUGAGACACGGCCCAGACUCCUACGGGAGGCAGCAGUGGGGAAUAUUGCACAAUGGGGGAAACCCUGAUGCAGCGAUGCCGCGUGGAGGAAGAAGGUUUUCGGAUUGUAAACUCCUGUCUAAAGGACGAUAAUGACGUACUAGAAGAGGACGUU